AGUGAACGCUGGCGGUAGGCCUAACACAUGCAAGUCGAACGGCAGCAUAGUAAGCGCUUGCUCUUACGGGUGGCGAGUGGCGGACGGGUGAGGAAUACAUCGGAAUUUACUUUUUCGUGGGGGAUAACGUAGGGAAACUUACGCUAAUACCGCAUACGACCUACGGGUGAAAGCAGGGGAUCUUCGGACCUUGCGCGAUUGAAUGAGCCGAUGUCGGAUUAGCUAGUUGGCGGGGUAAAGGCCCACCAAGGCGACGAUCCGUAGCUGGUCUGAGAGGAAGGACAGCCACACUAGAACUGAGACACGGACCAGACUCCUACGGGAGGCAACAGAGGGGGAUGUUGGAUAAUGAGCGCAAGCCUAAUCCAGCCAUACCGCGUGGGUGAAAAAGGCCUUCGGGUUGUAAUGCCCUUUUGUUGGGAAAAAAAAGCAGCAGGUUAAUACCCCGCUGUUCUGACGGUACCCAAAGAAUAAGCACCGGCUAACUUCGUG
RNAcentral lists this ribosomal RNA (492 nucleotides) under uncultured bacterium. RNAcentral describes it as "partial 16S ribosomal RNA". It matches the Rfam family "Bacterial small subunit ribosomal RNA", at positions 29 to 507 of the family's 1533-position model. The record is from RNAcentral.